CCUCCCUUAGCUCAGUGGAGAGCACUGGCGCGUAAAGCCAGAUACCCGGGUUCAAUUCCCGGCGAGGGUG
Molecule: transfer RNA, 70 nt
Filed under: Agrilus planipennis (emerald ash borer)
Lineage: Eukaryota; Metazoa; Arthropoda; Insecta; Coleoptera; Buprestidae
Rfam family: tRNA
About the family: Transfer RNA (tRNA) molecules are approximately 80 nucleotides in length. Their secondary structure includes four short double-helical elements and three loops (D, anti-codon, and T loops). Further hydrogen bonds mediate the characteristic L-shaped molecular structure. tRNAs have two regions of fundamental functional importance: the anti-codon, which is responsible for specific mRNA codon recognition, and the 3' end, to which the tRNAs corresponding amino acid is attached (by aminoacyl-tRNA synthetases). tRNAs cope with the degeneracy of the genetic code in two manners: having more than one tRNA (with a specific anti-codon) for a particular amino acid; and 'wobble' base-pairing, i.e. permitting non-standard base-pairing at the 3rd anti-codon position.
Source: Rfam by way of RNAcentral